UUCAACUGAAUUCUUUUUCUGUCUGCGAUUUUGCUUAUGGUCUUGAUUUAUUUAUUGAGGAAUGAUUUCUUCUUUGCAGUUAUCAGUUUUGUCUGAGAUCAGUUUUCCUAUUGUAUGGAGUCUGUUUCUUUCAGAGCCUCCUUUAAGACUGCUUUGACUUUAAAAUCAUUACUAGGCUUUUGUCAGAGCAGAUUUGUUGACACUCUUUUCACAUUAAAAAAUAAAUUUAUAAGAUUGCACAAAUAGGCUAUGUAUUUCACUAUUUCCUGCUAAUAUGCAAAAAAUGUAUUUAUGAUAAUUACAUGUACUGUAUGCCAGAACUGAAACAAUGCAUUCCUCAUAAUGGAGCAUAAAUAAAGAAGGUGGAGCCAGCUGCUCUUAAACUGUUGAUUUGCAGCAGUAAUGCUAUAGAGAAUAUACCUUUUUCACUCUGUGAGUCUGGCAAUACUGAACCUGUUGCUGCAUUAGACGAGUUGCAUUUUGCUGGAUAGGGGAAGGAAGGCUGUCUGCUGUCUGGUAGGAGGGCUUUGUCUGUGCCUUUCUCUCUCUGUUUCUUUCUGUUUUUCUUUCUCUCUCUCUCUCCUCUUCUCUCUCUCUCACUCGCUUGCUCUGUCUCUGUCUCUCUCUCCCUCUCUGCCCCCCCUCCCUCCCUCUCUCUUGCUCUCUCUCUCUCUUCCCGUCUCUGUGGUUUGUAAGGUAGGUUGCAGUGUGUGUAUAUACACAACAUCAAGAGCAGGAAAAUGGACUCAUUAGGGAGGCAGGCAGUCAUUACCACUCACACUGUACUUCCAGGGAGACACCGAUUAUGAGAAGAGAAACUCAGCGCUGGGGAAGAAGUCACACAAAAAGAAGUGUUAAGAAUUUCCCUUUGAUGCUCUGAAGGCUAAAGAGUACCUGAUAAACUGCAAGUCUGUCUGUGCCCCAUAGCUGCACAGGCCUCUGUCUCAGCACAACUCAUCUUCACAAAUGCCAAUGUUGAGCUUGAUUUCUAGAAAUGUGCAAAUCAUGAAAAGGAAGUCCCACUGGACUAUGCAACAUUAAGCAUAUGGCUACACAAAGAUGAAAAAAACUGUGGCCAUCAGAAGUAAAUAUUGGUAAUAACACUCAUGAAAUUUCACACAUGUAGAUCAUUGUGAGAUAAGUAGAAAUACUUACAUAGAGCUUAGAUAGAGAAGUAGACUUUUUAAUACAAAUAUAAAUGGAGGCAUUUGUUAUGAAAAUGGUGGCCCUUGAAGUUGGCUUCCUGCUUUCACUUAAGAAGAACACCUUCAAUCAGAUGAUUUUUUCCUCUGAUAAGAAUGAAAAAUAAUCAAUCUAAACACAUUUUAUUAUGAAAGAUACUUGGAAGAAUUCUAUUGAUAUAAGCUAAUGCAAGAUGGGAAUUUGCUUAUUACAGUGUUUUGAAUGUCCUCUUCCAUUGGUCAUGUGCAAUUGGUAUAAACAAAGAUCCUGUGUAUGGUAGAGGGCCUAUAUUUGCAUCCUUUUGCAUACUUAGACAUUCUUUAGCAGGGCUUAUUUCUGUUUACUGACAGUAUUUCUCAGUCCUUUGUACAAUUACAAUAUGUAUAGCAGCAGCAGCAUUUGAGUGUGCAAUAAAGGUAGGUUCUUCUAUCAAUGCAGCCUGAAGAACAUAAAGAAUUCAUUAUACUGAUUUUGAUUCUGUGGGUGAAAUAGGUUUGCUCCAUGAACUUUCAUUGCACAGGACAAAAUGCUAUGCUCAUGAGACAUGCAAGCAGCUGAAGAGUCAAGAAAAGCUGUGUUGGUUUUAUUUAGGAAGUGCCUGGCUUCUCAUCUGCUUGGGAAAGGAGCAGGCCAUAUCACCAGUUGCCAAGUGCUCUAAUGCUGAGAAGAGUGUCAGCUGUGGUUACCCUGGGGAUUUUUGGCAGCAAUAAGCACUUUUCCUUGAGAAAAAUCAGCAUAGAUGCCACACAUUGGAAUUGGAAGAAUUGCUUUUAUUUUCUAUUUUCUUUAAAAAUCAAAUUUGCUUUUCCUUCCUUCCCAGCUGUUGCAGCUUCCUUGAUUUUUAGCUCAGAUGAUGGGAGUAACACAUGUUCACUGAAACCCAGAGGAGAGCUCCUUUCUUUCCUUCUGAUAUGAACUCAUUGAAGUCAAGAUACUGGCUAACCCGAACUAAAUAAUAUAUUCAGAAAGAGAUUUGUCCAGGAGGGGUGUUCAUGGGUGAAGACCACAGUGGUGGGGGUAAUCGAAGCAGUUUUUCAAGGAUAUCAGUGUCAAUCACAUGUAUUAGGAAACUUGAAUAUGCCAUCUCCAGGAUGUUUUUAGCUGAAAAAUCUUGGAGACCUAACCUGUUCCAUGGGGAAGUCUUUUUUUAUUUUCUAUAUUCAUCAUAGUUUAUAGCUGGGAACAAAAUGCAUAUAUAGAAAUUGAAUUGGCUGAAUUAGUAUGCAGUAGGUCGGGCAUUAAAUAUACCUGACUUUUUCUGUUAAUUCUCUCCCUUCCCUAUUAUCUCUUACCUCUCAAAUGGGAAGGUCACAUCUGUUUUCUCACCAAGUUUUACCUUCAUGUUAAAGAACCAAAGUUCCUUUAAGGUCAAUAUAGGGGAGGAUUAGAGUAGCUUUUAUUCUUGAUGUUCAGUUUUUCUACCAUCUUUUAUUUUACAUAAAGAAACUAAUCAUCUGACUUAGCUGGAGAUUUUUUUUUUUAAUUUCCCUCUCCUUUCUUAAGAACCUAUUGCCUACAAAUUACUUAUUCUCCUCUAGAUUUAUCUACUUUCAUUAUUGAAGGAGACUUUGCCAUCCUGUAAUUUCUUUUCUGUUGGCUUUUCUUAGGAUAGCAAUUUAAAAAGCAAUUAUUGACCAUUUCUUUAUGACUAUUUCAGGUACUUUACAGGUAUUUGUUAGAGUUCUCCAGAAGAAAAAACCCAACAGGAUGUAUAGAUAGACAGAUAGAUCUCUGCUGCUACUGCUGCUAAGUUGCUUCAGUCGUGUCUGACUCUGUGCGACCCCAUAGAUAGCAGCCCACCAGGCUCCCCUGUCCCUAGGAUUUUCCAGGCAAGAACACUGGAGUGGGUUGCCAUUUCCUUCUCCAAUGCAUGGAAGUGAAGAGUGAAAGUGAAGUCGCUCAGUCGUGUCCAACUUGUAGUGACCCCUUGGACUGCAGCUUACCAGGCUCCUCCAUCCAUGGGAUUUUCCAGGCAAGAGUACUGGAGUAGGGUGCCAUUGCCUUCUCCAAGAUAGAUCUCUAUAUGCAUCCAACUAACUGUAUCUUUACACACACACACACAUUUAUUACAAGGGAUUAGUUCAUACAGUUAUUACAGCUGACAAGUCCCAAGAUCUGAAAUUGUCAAGCUGGAGACCUAAGAGAACUGAUGAUGUGGUUGGAGUAUAGUUUCAAGGUUGAGAACUAGGAGAGCUGAUGGUAUAGUUCUAAUCAAAAGACUGGUAGGUUGAGCUCAGGAAGAGCCAAUGUCUCAGUUCAAGUCCAAAGGCAGGAAAAAAACUAAUAUGCCAGCUCAAAUAUAGGCAGGCAGGAGGAAUUCCCUGUUACUAUAGGCUUUCAACUGAUUGGAUGGGGCCACUCCUAAUAGGGAGAUUAAUCUGUUUUUACAGGAAGAUUAAUUUGUUUUACUCAGUCUAUAGAUUCUAAUGUUAAUAUCAUCAAAAAAUACCCUCACAGAUAUACCUAGCAUGUCAGUAUUCUUGCCUUGAAAACCCCAUGAACAGUAUGAAAAGAAAAAAAAAAUAUGACACUGAAAGAUGAACUUGCCAGGCCGGUAGGUGCCCAAUAUGCUAUUGGAGAAGAGUGGAGAAAUAACUCCAGAAAGAAUGAGGAGACAGAACCAAAGCAAAAACAACAUCCAGUUGUGGAUGUGACUGCUGAUGGAAGUAAGUCCAAUGUUGUUAAGAACAAUAGUGCAUAGGAACCUGGAAUGUUAGGUUCAUGAAUCAAAGUAAAUUAGAAGUGGUCAGACAGGAGAUGGCAAGAGUGAACAUCGACAUUUUAGGAAUCAGUGAACUAAAAUGGACAGGAAUGGGUGAAUUUAACUCAGAUGACCAUUAUAUCUACUACUGUGGGCAAGAAUACCUUAGAAGAAAUUGAGUAGCCCUCAUAGUCAACAAAAAAGUCUGUAAUGCAGUAUUUGGGUAUAAUCUCAAAAAUGACAGAAUGAUCUGUUUGUUUCCAAGGCAAAAUAUUCAGUAUCACAAUAAUCUAAGUCUAUGCCCCAACCAGUAAUGCUAAAGAAGCUGAGGUUGAAUGGCUCUAUGAAGACCUACAAGACCUUCUAGAACUAACACACCCCAAGGAUGUGCUUUUCAUUAUUGGGGAUUGAAAUGCAAAAGUAGAAAGUCAGGAGAUAUCUGGAGUAACAGGCAAAAUUGGCGUUGGAGUACAAAAUGAAGCAGGACAAAGACUAACAGAGUUUUGCCAAGAGAACGCACUGAUCAUAGCAAACACCCUCUUCCAAUAACACAAGAGAAGACUCUACACAUGGACAUCACCACAUGGUCAAUACGGUGAUUAUAUUCUUUGCAGCCAAAGAUGGAGAAGCUCUAUACAGACAGCAAAAACAAGACCAGGAGCUGACUGUGGCUCAGAUCAUGAACUCCUUAUUGCCAAAUUCAGAUUGAAAUUGAAGAAAGUAGGGAAAACCACUAGAUCAUUCAGGUAUGACCUAAAUCAAAGCCCUUAUGAUUAUAUAGUGGAAGUGACAAAUAGAUUCAAGGGAUUAGAUCCGGUAGAGUACCUGAAGAACUAUGGAUGGAGGUUCGUGACAUCAUCCAGGAGGCAAUAAUCAAGACCAUCCCCAAGAAAAAGAAAUGUAAAAGGCAAAAUGGUUGUCUGAGGUGGCCUUACAAAUAGCUGAGAAAAGAAGAGAAGCUAAAGGCAGAAGAGAAAAGGAACAAGAUACCCAUUUGACUCAGAGUUCCAAAGAAUAGCAGGGAGAGAUAAGAAAGCCUUCCUCAGUGAUCAAUGCAAAGAAAUAGAGGAAAACAAUAGAAUGGGAAAGACUAGAGAUCUCUUCAAGAAAAUUAGAGAUACAAAGGGAACAUUUCAUGCAAAUAUGGGCACAAUAAAGGACAGAAAUGGUGUGGACCUAACAAAAGCAGAAGAUAUUAAGAAGAGGUAGCAAGAAUACAUAGAAGAACUAUAAAAAAAAAUCCUCAUGACUGAGAUAACCACGAUGAUAUGACCACUCACCUAAAGUCAUACAUCCUAGAAUGUGAAGUCAAGUGGGCCUUAGAAAGCAUCACUAUGAACA
Bos taurus (domestic cattle) is the source of this 5224-nucleotide long non-coding RNA. Lineage: Eukaryota; Metazoa; Chordata; Mammalia; Artiodactyla; Bovidae. The record is from Ensembl.